UCAAGUUCUUCAGCUCACGAUGACUUACGCAGAUUUCCUUCUCGACAAUGGUGUGCGUUUCACUGAGGAAUGGAAAACAUUGUCAAAAUAUGGACUGUUCUUGGGUGGUUGGCUACAUGGACCAUACUGAGUGGUAACAACUUUAGAUGCUGACUUCUUUGGAGGCAGUUGGGGUUGAUUAUCAACUUUAGUCUACAGUUAAGAAGAGUAAAGUUUCUUGGAUGUGAGCCAUAGAUUCCCUGACAAACCUGCUUUCUUCAAUGAGGAAACAACCUGUCAUUUUCUGCGAUGGAUAAGGUUUCUGCAGACCCAUUACGGCACUAUGUCAUAUACAG
Non-coding RNA from Pimephales promelas (fathead minnow), 335 nucleotides. The record is from RefSeq and is a predicted model, not a curated record. NCBI's taxonomy places the organism in Eukaryota, Metazoa, Chordata, Actinopteri, Cypriniformes, Leuciscidae.